Molecule: ribosomal RNA, 459 nt
Filed under: uncultured bacterium
Lineage: Bacteria
Description: partial 16S ribosomal RNA
Rfam family: Bacterial small subunit ribosomal RNA
Source: RNAcentral
UGGGGAAUCGUUCCGCAAUGGACGAAAGUCUGACGGAGCAACGCCGCGUGUAUGACGAAGGCCUUCGGGUUGUAAAGUACUGUCUUUGGGGACGAACGGUAUCUAUGUAAAUAAUGCAGAUACAUGACGGUACCCAAGGAGGAAGCCCCGGCUAACUACGUGCAGCAGCCGCGGUAAUACGUAGGGGGCGAGCGUUGUCCGGAAUCAUUGGGCGUAAAGGGCGCGUAGGCGGUCAUUAAGUCUGGUGUAAAGGCAGGGGCUCAACCCCUGGAAGGCACCGGAACUGGUUAUCUUGAGGACAGGAGAGGAAAGCGGAAUUCCACGUGUAGCGGUGAAAUGCGUAGAUAUGUGGAGGAACACCAGUGGCGAAGGCGGCUUUCUGGACUGUAACUGACGCUGAGGCGCGAAAGCGUGGGGAGCAAACAGGAUUAGAUACCCUGGUAGUCCACGCCGUAAACG